GUGGGGAAUAUUGGACAAUGGGCGCAAGCCUGAUCCAGCCAUGCCGCGUGUGUGAAGAAGGCCUUUUGGUUGUAAAGCACUUUAAGCGAGGAGGAGGCUCCUUUAGUUAAUACCUAAAGAGAGUGGACGUUACUCGCAGAAUAAGCACCGGCUAACUCUGUGCCAGCAGCCGCGGUAAUACAGAGGGUGCGAGCGUUAAUCGGAUUUACUGGGCGUAAAGCGUGCGUAGGCGGCUUUUUAAGUCGGAUGUGAAAUCACUGAGCUUAACUUAGGAAUUGCAUUCGAUACUGGAAAGCUAGAGUAUGGGAGAGGAUGGUAGAAUUCCAGGUGUAGCGGUGAAAUGCGUAGAGAUCUGGAGGAAUACCGAUGGCGAAGGCAGCCAUCUGGCCUAAUACUGACGCUGAGGUACGAAAGCAUGGGGAGCAAACAGGAUUAGAAACCCCAGUAGUCC
Molecule: ribosomal RNA, 451 nt
Filed under: uncultured bacterium
Lineage: Bacteria
Description: partial 16S ribosomal RNA
Rfam family: Bacterial small subunit ribosomal RNA
Source: RNAcentral